This 367-nucleotide ribosomal RNA is filed under the name uncultured Acidobacteriota bacterium. RNAcentral's name for it is "bacterial SSU rRNA". It matches the Rfam family "Bacterial small subunit ribosomal RNA", at positions 12 to 393 of the family's 1533-position model. The record is from RNAcentral. Lineage: Bacteria; Pseudomonadati; Acidobacteriota.
UUUGAUCCUGGCUCAGAAUCAACGCUGGCGGCGUGCCUAACACAUGCAAGUCGAACGAGAAAGUGGAGCAAUCCAUGAGUACAGUGGCGACCGGGUGAGUAACACGUGACUAACCUGCCCUCGAGUGGGGAAUAACUCCGGGAAACCGGAGCUAAUACCGCAUAACAUCGCAAGAUCAAAGCAGCAAUGCGCUUGAGGAGGGGGUCGCGGCUGAUUAGCUAGUUGGUAGGGUAAUGGCCUACCAAGGCAAAGAUCGGUAUCCGGCCUGAGAGGGCGCACGGACACACUGGAACUGAAACACGGUCCAGACUCCUACGGGAGGCAGCAGUGGGGAAUUUUGCGCAAUGGGGGAAACCCUGACGCAGCA